CUGUCUCUUAACUUACACAUGCAAGUCUCAGCACACCCGUGAGAACGCCCUUCUUCCUCAAUCAGAUGAAGGAGCCGGCAUCAGGCACAGACUCCUAGCCCAUAACGCCUAGUUACACCACACCCUCAAGGGCACUCAGCAGUGACAAAUAUUACUUAUAAGCGUCAGCUUGAAUUAGUUAAAGAAAAUUAGAGUCGGCCAAUCCGGUGCCAGCCGCCGCGGCUACACCAGCAGACUCAAGUUGAUAACCACCGGCGUUAAGCGUGAUUAAAGAAACCCGAAAUUAGAGUUAAAUAUGAAUUUAGCAGUGAUAAGCUUAUUACUUAGAAGAACAAAAACGAAAGUUACUCUAAUCUUACUUGAAUACACGACAGCCAGGGUACAAACUGGGAUUAGAUACCCCACUAUA
RNAcentral lists this ribosomal RNA (409 nucleotides) under Amietia nutti. RNAcentral describes it as "partial 12S ribosomal RNA". The record is from RNAcentral. Lineage: Eukaryota; Metazoa; Chordata; Amphibia; Anura; Pyxicephalidae.